AACGUCCACCAGGAUCUGACAUUACCUCUAAAGAAACAACGGUCGCUGGCGAAGAAGUUGUCGGAUAAAGAAAGGGACAAAACUCGGAUUAACAUUGGCCUUGCAUUUCCAAGGUGGAGAGCACUGCGAGAGCUAAAGGGGCUACAAUCUGACUCGGAGCUAGCUCUUCUUCUCCUGGACAGGUCACGUGGAUCGUGCCAGGAUACACUGAUGUUUACUGUGAUGAUUUUCACCACACUGCAACGUGUUAUCUUCACAAAUAUGUGUAUACACCGACCAGCCACAACAUUCAAACCACUGACAGCUGAAGUGAAUAACUUGUUCCAAUGCAUUGUUCUGCUGGGAAACCUUUGGUUCUGGCAUUCAUAUGGAUACCACCUGACAUG
Molecule: long non-coding RNA, 386 nt
Organism: Epinephelus moara (kelp grouper)
Lineage: Eukaryota; Metazoa; Chordata; Actinopteri; Perciformes; Serranidae
Exons: 3
Source: RefSeq, a predicted model, not a curated record